UGAAAGGCUAUCAUGCACACGAAGACAAACAUUGGGCUUGGCCAGGUACAGAGACCACGGCAGCCACUCACUACAAGACGUAGUUCUGACUAUCUUUUUUUGAACGCACUGAAGAUCGUCAUCAGGAAUGGAGGUUUCACCACGUUAUGCUAUAGCUGGUACAGUUUCAAGCUUGGUAUAUCCGCCGGAAUCAUCCUCCGUGGCCACAUCACUGAUGAGGGUAAACAGUGCUCCUCCUGGUGCCAAAGAACGCCAUACAACAAAAUCAGCUUCCACUCAAACAGAGCUACAGGAAGACGUGGUAAACUUGAGCCUAGAAGUAGAGAGGCUUAGUCAUAAGAUACGCAAGAUGACGAAAGAGCUUGAUGCACAUUACAAAAAAUUCAGUGAUGUUUUCACCAAGCUGGGUUAUCUGGACCCGUAUAGUUACGACGAUGUGGACAACAAAGUCAAAGAACAUCUGCAUGGCGUUUGGAGAAGCCUAUAUUAUGAUCUUGAUGCCUGGCUUGGUGGACCAAGGCGAUUUGAAAGGGAGAAAGUUGCCUGUUAGGCAAUGAUGCACAAAUCUACAACAGUGAAGUGAACUUAUUACAGUGAAUGUAAUGGUGACUAUUACAGUGAAUGUAAUGGUGACUAUCACAGUGAAUGUAAUGGUGGAUAUACUCGUGAACUGUAUAUAUAACAGUGAAGUUAAGUUCCGCCGAUGUGACACAACAAUCCGUCAGCAAUUCAUUGAUGUGUACAGUCUAAGUACUUUCUGUUGUUUGUUUGUUUGUUUGUAACUUUUUAACUUCAACUCUUUCCGGCAAACCUUACUUGAUUCUAUAAUCACAAAUCAUGUAGUAAAUUAGCGAAAUCAAGUUCUUAACAGCAAGAAUAAUUUCAUUCUCUAUGAAUCAAUUAUGUAUGUGUGUUAGUUAAUGAAUUAUAUAUGUGUGGGAUGAUACUUUCCUAUUAGCCUGGGCCGCGUUGAGCUAGCCAACUAAUCUGUAAACCUCCAAGGUCUUCUUGUAAAGUUCUUGCAUGAUAUGUACAGAAUUUUAUACAGUUUAUUAUAAAAUGUCUUUAUAGAGUUUAUAAUGAAAUGUUUUAUUAUAUGCACAUUCAUGCCCGGGUUGCAAGAACAGAAGAAUAAUAGCAAUAAUCAAAUCGUGAAUGGCAUGAGUUGUCAGUAUAUAAAUAUGUAAAGUUAUUUAGAAGAGCUUCUCAUUGACUUGGAUAGUCAAAGAAGCCUGCAGUGUAAAGAUUCAAUACAGUAAACAAGACAGCAGACAUUGUUUUAAUGUCAGCUAC
Long non-coding RNA from Branchiostoma belcheri (Belcher's lancelet), 1293 nucleotides. RefSeq lists it as uncharacterized. The record is from RefSeq and is a predicted model, not a curated record. The transcript is spliced from 4 exons. Lineage: Eukaryota; Metazoa; Chordata; Leptocardii; Amphioxiformes; Branchiostomatidae.